RNAcentral lists this ribosomal RNA (497 nucleotides) under uncultured bacterium. RNAcentral's name for it is "partial 16S ribosomal RNA". It matches the Rfam family "Bacterial small subunit ribosomal RNA", at positions 28 to 507 of the family's 1533-position model. The record is from RNAcentral.
GAUGAACGCUGGCGGCGUGCCUAAUACAUGCAAGUCGAGCGAACGGACGAGAAGCUUGCUUCUCUGAUGUUAGCGGCGGACGGGUGAGUAACACGUGGAUAACCUACCUAUAAGACUGGGAUAACUUCGGGAAACCGGAGCUAAUACCGGAUAAUAUUUUGAACCGCAUGGUUCAAAAGUGAAAGACGGUCUUGCUGUCACUUAUAGAUGGAUCCGCGCUGCAUUAGCUAGUUGGUAAGGUAACGGCUUACCAAGGCAACGAUGCAUAGCCGACCUGAGAGGGUGAUCGGCCACACGGGAACUGAGACACGGUCCAGACUCCUACGGGAGGCAGCAGUAGGGAAUCUUCCGCAGUGGGCGAAAGCCUGACGGAGCAACGCCGCGUGAGUGAUGGAGGUCUUCGGAUCGUAAAACUCUGUUAUUAGGGAAGAACAUAUGUGUAAGUAACUGUGCACAUCUUGACGGUACCUAAUCAGAAAGCCACGGCUAACUACGUG